GACGAACGCUGGCGGCGUGCCUAACACAUGCAAGUCGAACGGAACUUGAGUGGAUGAGACUUCGGUUGAUGAAACUCGAGUUUAGUGGCGGACGGGUGAGUAACGCGUGAGCAACCUGCCUUCCAGAGGGGGACAACAGUUGGAAACGACUGCUAAUACCGCAUAAGACCACGAUCCCGCAUGGGAUAGCGGUCAAAGGAUUUAUUCGCUUGAAGAUGGACUCGCGUCUGAUUAGAUAGUUGGUGGGGUAACGGCUCACCAAGUCUACGAUCAGUAGCCGGACUGAGAGGUCGAUCGGCCACAUUGGGACUGAGAUACGGCCCAGACUCCUACGGGAGGCAGCAGUGGGGAAUAUUGGGCAAUGGGGGGAAACCCUGACCCAGCAACGCCGCGUGAAGGAGAAGGCC
This 407-nucleotide ribosomal RNA is filed under the name uncultured bacterium. RNAcentral describes it as "bacterial SSU rRNA". It matches the Rfam family "Bacterial small subunit ribosomal RNA", at positions 28 to 416 of the family's 1533-position model. The record is from RNAcentral.